UCCUUUCCCUGGGCGGGAACAGCAAAAUGGCGCCAGAACUAGUGGCGGGCUGAGGACGCUGGCUCCCCUCGAAGACGGUCCUGCGGUCCCCGGGCCGCCCCGGCCCCUCCCGGACAUGGAGGACGUGGAGGCGCGCUUCGCCCAUCUGCUGCAGCCCAUCCGCGACCUCACUAAGAACUGGGAGGUGGACGUGGCGGCCCAGCUGGGCGAGUAUCUAGAGGAGCUGGACCAGAUCUGCAUUUCUUUUGACGAGGGGAAAACCACAAUGAACUUCAUUGAGGCAGCGCUGUUGAUCCAGGGGUCUGCCUGUGUCUACAGUAAGAAGGUGGAAUACCUCUACUCACUGGUCUACCAGGCUCUUGAUUUCAUCUCUGGCAAGAAGCGGGCCAAGCAGCUCUCCCCAGUGCGGGAAAAUGGGGCCAAUGGGGACACCAGCUCCACAGCUCCCCAGGAGGCGGAGGACCAGUUCCUGUCGCUGGAUGACCUCCCUGACUCCCGUGCUAAUGUGGAUCUGAGGAACGACCUGCCCCCCCGUGAGGUCCUCAUCGUCCCUCUUCUGCCCAUGGCCCUUGUGGCCCCUGAUGAGAUGGAGAAGAAUGCCAGCCCCCUGUACAGCUGUCAGGGGGAGGUCCUGGCCAGCCGGAAGGAUUUUAGGAUGAAUACGUGUACCCCCCACCCCAGAGGAGCCUUCAUGUUGGAGCCAGUGGGCAUCUCCCCCAUGGAGACACUGAUGCCAAGGAACCAGAAGGAGCCUGAGAGGGCUCAGGAGCAGCCAAUGGAAGUCCCUGUGGUCAGCGUCUCCCAGGAGCCAGGUGCCUCUCCAGAAGGCCCAAUGCCUGGAGGUGGUGGUGAGGAUGAUGCAGAGGGGGCAGCAGAGCUCCCUGAAGCCACAGCCCCCGAGGGCCCUCAGGAACCCCAGGAACCCAGGAGCCCGCAGCAGGGUGCUGCCCAGCCUAGUCGGUGCGUGCUACGGGAGCGAGAGGAGCCAGCGCCCCUGAUGAAGGAGACUCCGGACCCCUGGCAGAGCCUGGACCCCUUUGACUCCCUGGAUUCUAAGCCCUUCAAGAAAGGUAGGCCGUACUCUGUGCCCCCUUGCGUGGAGGAGGUUCCAGGACAGAAGCGCAAGAGGAAGGGCGCCACCAAGCUGCAGGACUUCCACCAGUGGUACCUGGCUGCCUAUUCUCUUGAAGAUGCUGACCACGCUGACAGCAGGAGGCCCCGGCGAAAGGGCCCGUCCUUUGCAGACAUGGAGGUCCUGUACUGGAAGCAUGUGAAGGAGCAAUUGGAGACUCUCCGGAAGCUGCAGAGGCGGGAGAUGGCCGAGCGGUGGCUGCCGAGGCCUGAGGAAGGGCUGUGGCCUGUGGAGGACCAGCUGGAGGACUCCCUGGAGGAUCUGGGGACAGCAGCAGAUGACUUUCUAGAGCCUGAGGAGUAUGCAGAGCCUCAGGAGGCAAAGCCUGGGGAAGCUGCAGACCUGGAAGCAGAGGCCAUGCCAGUGUCCCUGAGCUAUGAGGAGCUGGUCCGAAGGAAUGUGGAGCUCUUCAUCGCCACCUCUCAGAAGUUCGUCCAGGAGACAGAGCUGAGCCAGCGCAUCAGAGACUGGGAGGACACUAUCCAGCCCCUGCUCCAAGAGCAGGAUCUUGCCCCUCCUCCUUGCAGGAACAGCAUGUGCCCUUUGACAUCCAUACUUACGGGGACCAGGUAGUCUCAAGGUUCAGCCAGCUCAACCAGUGGUGUCCCUUUGCGGAGCUAGUUGCUGGCCAACCUGCCUUCGAGGUGUGUCGUUCCAUGCUGGCGUCCCUGCAGCUGGCCAACGACUACACCGUGGAGAUCACCCAGCAGCCGGGGCUGGAGGCGGCCGUGGACACCAUGUCCCUGAGACUACUCACGCACCAGCGGGCCCACAAGCGCUUCCAGACCUAUGCUGCCCCCUCCAUGGCCCAGCCCUGAUUUGGGGAGCACUGAGGCUGAGGGGUGGGCUCUGGAGGUCCAUCCCUCAUGGGUGCUAGGCAUGCAUCUGCUCACUCUACCCUUGUUUCCUGGCUGGCCCAGCCCAAUAAAAUGGUGUUGCCAUCCCACCUAA
RNA transcript from Callorhinus ursinus (northern fur seal), 2083 nucleotides. It is a transcript of the gene named non-SMC condensin II complex subunit H2, with no coding region annotated. NCBI's taxonomy places the organism in Eukaryota, Metazoa, Chordata, Mammalia, Carnivora, Otariidae. The record is from RefSeq and is a predicted model, not a curated record.